Molecule: unclassified non-coding RNA, 389 nt
Filed under: soil metagenome
Description: partial contains 5.8S ribosomal RNA, internal transcribed spacer 2, and large subunit ribosomal RNA
Rfam family: 5.8S ribosomal RNA (bases 1-122)
Source: RNAcentral
GAUGAAGAACGUAGCGAAAUGCGAUACUUGGUGUGAAUUGCAGAAUCCCGUGAACCAUCGAGUCUUUGAACGCAAGUUGCGCCCGAAGCCAUUAGGCCGAGGGCACGCCUGCCUGGGCGUCACACGUCGUUGCCCCCCCAUCUACUCCUUCGGGAUUGCGGGGGGCGGAUGAUGGCCUCUCGUGCGCCUCGUCGCGCGGUUGGCCUAAUGCCAAGUCCUCGGCGACGCACGCCACGACAAUCGGUGGUUGCGAAACCUCGGUUGCCUGUCGUGUGCGGUCGUCGCGCAUCGAGGGCUCGAAAAAAUUGCCGGGCUUCGGCUCGACUUUCAACGCGACCCCAGGUCAGGCGGGGUUACCCGCUGAAUUUAAGCAUAUCAAAAGCGGAGGA